This 445-nucleotide ribosomal RNA is filed under the name uncultured bacterium. RNAcentral describes it as "partial 16S ribosomal RNA". It matches the Rfam family "Bacterial small subunit ribosomal RNA", at positions 354 to 796 of the family's 1533-position model. The record is from RNAcentral.
GUGAGGAAUAUUGGACAAUGGGCGCAAGCCUGAUCCAGCCAUGCCGCGUGCAGGAAGACGCAUCUAUGGUGUGUAAACUGCUUUUGUACGGGAAGAAACACUCCCUCGUGAGGGAGCUUGACGGUACCGUAAGAAUAAGGAUCGGCUAACUCCGUGCCAGCAGCCGCGGUAAUACGGAGGAUCCAAGCGUUAUCCGGAAUCAUUGGGUUUAAAGGGUCCGUAGGCGGUUUAAUAAGUCAGUGGUGAAAGCCCAUCGCUCAACGAUGGAACGGCCAUUGAUACUGUUAGACUUGAAGUACAAGGAAGUAACUAGAAUAUGUAGUGUAGCAGUGAAAUGCUUAGAUAUUACAUGGAAUACCAAUUGCGAAGGCAGGUUACUACUUGUGGAUUGACGCUGAUGGACGAAAGCGUGGGGAGCGAACAGGAUUAGAUACCCCGGUAGUCC